CAAAGCAUCUGGCAUAGGAGAUACCACAAUCAUGAAGGUGGUUUUCCCUGGUGAGGCUUAUCCAUUGCACUCUGGAUGUGCUGACUCCUGCGAUUAUCCCAAAUGUGGGAAACUCAACUGUAUAAUUUAUGGUAGUGGGGGACUGUGUGUUUGCUCUCCCCUG
Cebus imitator (Panamanian white-faced capuchin) is the source of this 163-nucleotide small nuclear RNA. Its record names the gene U1. It matches the Rfam family "U1 spliceosomal RNA". Rfam says of the family: U1 is a small nuclear RNA (snRNA) component of the spliceosome (involved in pre-mRNA splicing). Its 5' end forms complementary base pairs with the 5' splice junction, thus defining the 5' donor site of an intron. The record is from Ensembl. NCBI's taxonomy places the organism in Eukaryota, Metazoa, Chordata, Mammalia, Primates, Cebidae.